UUUUCCUCAACACAACUUAAGUUAUAAUGACUUAACUUGUGCUUGGAUGUUGAAGGUCUGCUGGCAAUUACCAUGUCAGCUCCUUUCAAAUGUAUGAGCAGGACAGUAUGUAACCAGCUCCAAUUUGAUAAGUAGUUAUCUGUGUUGUUGCUGGCUAUAGUUGAAUGUCUGCUACUAAUUGUCCUACUAUUGGGACUUGCUUCUAAGCAAAAUCUAUUGAA
RNAcentral lists this unclassified non-coding RNA (221 nucleotides) under uncultured Clavaria. RNAcentral describes it as "sequence contains ITS2". Lineage: Eukaryota; Fungi; Basidiomycota; Agaricomycetes; Agaricales; Clavariaceae. The record is from RNAcentral.